This is an RNA transcript of Carlito syrichta (Philippine tarsier), 542 nucleotides long. It is a transcript of the gene named pleckstrin homology domain-containing family A member 1 pseudogene, with no coding region annotated. NCBI's taxonomy places the organism in Eukaryota, Metazoa, Chordata, Mammalia, Primates, Tarsiidae. The transcript has a single exon. The record is from RefSeq and is a predicted model, not a curated record.
CCGUGUUAGUUUAAUGCCAUUGAGAGAGUUUACAGCGAAAUCUGGUGUAAUGUUCAAGCCUAGAAAUGCCUUAUGUGGAUCGUCAGAAUCGCAUCUGUGGUUUUCUAGACAUUGAAGAAAAUGAAAACAGUGGCAAAUUUCUUCGAAGGUACUUCAUAUUGGAUACCAGAGAAGACAGUUUUGUAUGGUACAUGGAUAAUCCACAGAACCUACCUUCUGGAUCAUCACGUGUUGGAGCCAUCAAACUUACCUACAUUUCAAAGGUUAGCGAUGCAACUAAGCUAAGGCCAAAGGCUGAGUUCUGUUUUGUUAUGAAUGCAGGAAUGAGGAAAUAUUUUCUACAAGCCAAUGAUCAGCAGGACCUAGUAGAAUGGGUAAAUGUGUUGAACAAAGCUAUAAAAAUUACAGUACCAAAGCAGUCAGAUUCACAGCCUAAUUCCGAUAACCCAAGUCGCCAAGGUGAAUGUGGGAAGAAGCAAGUGUCUUACAGAACUGAUAUUGUUGGUGGUGUGCCCAUCAUUACUCCAACUCAGAAAGAAGAU